Molecule: non-coding RNA, 29 nt
Filed under: Rattus norvegicus (Norway rat)
Lineage: Eukaryota; Metazoa; Chordata; Mammalia; Rodentia; Muridae
Source: RNAcentral
UAUAAAAUCCCUGAAUGAAGGGUGGGGGG